UGGUAAGCGUCUGAACUGGAUUUUAAGGACCCGUGAUUGCAGGAUGGGAUUUUAGAAAACAAAACACACACACGAUCGUAUUGAAGACUGACUGAGUCAGUUUCCUGAAUAAGCAGGGGCAGUUUACAAGCUGGAAACUUCAAUUUUGAAAGGGGGAGGGCAGCCCGCUGGAUAUCUAUUCANUGUCAACAUCUCCCCUCAGCAGCCCUUCUCCCGUUUCUCUCCGUGAUCACGUUUUACACCUCAGAGGGGCAACUUGGAUUCUCUUACCCUCAGUAAUCCUAAAGUGAACGUAGUUAUUGGAAAACUCAGGGUCCCUGCCUGCCUGAUCCAAGCAUUAGAGGAGACGGGCUGCGGCAGCGUCGAGAGGAAAACCGAUAGAAAACGUCCGGCCCACGCACUUAUGCGCCCAUCAUCAUCAUUUGUUGACGACGAUGAUGACUGGCCAGAUUCUCUAAUUUUCCACAAGAAAGAACAUCUUCCCACCUCCACCCACCUCAGGGAAGGAAUCAGGAGGAGACGGCAGGAUUCUGCAGCUCGCGAUCGCUAUCAACAUNUCAUACACGUCAGAGUGUGCGAUCGGGAGGAAGAAAGCGAGCGAGCGAGAGUGACGCGAGCGAGAUCACGGGCCCUUUGCAGAUUUAAUGUAGUGACAAUAAUUGCCUGUUUGCUAUCGGCGCACAAGGGAGCGCAGCGCAGCCCAUUGUUUCCGAUCCUAGAAACCUAUUAACGAAUCUCUUUUCCCAACAAAGAUUCUAACCCCACCCACCUAUUCCACUCUGCCCAAUGAAAAGCAGAAUUGGGGGGAUGAGGAGGGGUACGAAUGUUAAAAGCUCGAUCAUUCCAAGGAUCUUACCCCCCCCCCGCUAGCAUUAAAAAAAAAAAGAAAAUGAGAAAUGUCAGCCUUUAUUCCUUGUCACAAUCAGCGCGGGGCGGGAUCUGUGUAACGAUCAUUCAGUAUUAACAUAACCCAAGAUAGCAGAAACGAGCAACAAGUCUGCUGAUUCAGGGUCUCCGGUCAUUGCUUUUUUCUGCGACCUCUAGCGGCGGAAACGUGUUUAGCACCUCACCGCAUCCCUACGCCUCUCCAAACUAAAAGCUGUUUGGGCGGGGGGGGGGGGUUGGUUGGUUGGUCACUUUGGGCUCAGGAUUGUAGGAGUCUGUUCCUCACACGCCGUAUACCGCACAUUGAUGACUUUAGUGAAACAAAUGGAGGAAACUCCCCUCCUAUAACUGUCGAUUGUANAGUCAACAUGCCAUUCAUUCUUGAAUGAUCAAUAAUGAUGAAUUUAAUUAGGUUGCCAUGUAUUUCAGCAGACAUUGUCUGUAUUAUAAACUACACUUCUGAAAUGCCUUCUUCUAUGCAGCUAUUGAAGGCAUAAGAACUCUGACUUGCAUUCCAUAUGGCAACCCUAUGCAUAGAGCUUUUAGUAAAGGCUCACGUGUAAGUUAUCUGAGCAGUCUUUGCCACAGCCUUGUCAUUACCAUUACAAAACAAAUACCAAUACAAUUUAAGGGUGAGAGUGUCCUUGUGCCUAAGUUGCAUGCAAUCCUUCCAGAUUUGCCAUAGGAUUAUCUGGAUUAUCUUCCAGAUAAUUGGGGGCAGAUUGUCUUUGCCACAGAGAGCAGAAGAAGUGAUUUUGGCAUUAGUGCUAUUGGGGCUCUGGCAAUUGCCAGAGAUGGCUGCCAGUGGAUUAGAUUUGGGUUCUUGAUCUUGCCAUUACUCAGCUGACAGCUGUAUUACUUUUUUAUUUCUUUCUAAGAAAGGCUGAUGAGUUUUAACCAUCAGACGAAAUGCAUCAUUUCCUCUCUAGGCAGUCUUUAUGCUAAAAAGGUCUUGACAGAAGGGGAAUAACAGGAAUUGAGCAAUCUGAUCCCAUGAAUUUUACUCAGUAGUAUGCUCUAAUAAGUGUAUGCAAUCUUAGUGAUAAGGACUGAUAUCUGUUGUUCUGUUACACUGUCAUGUGUAUAGUGAAAUUUGAAGCAGGUUUAUUAUGCCACAAUUCAACUAUUUCCUUUAGCAAACCAACAAGUUCUGUUUAUCACAUGUGCUGGUAGAUGCAGAUUCUUCUGAUCUUUCCUGUGGCUUAGUUUUGUAGCACUAGAUGUAAGAAAGACCAUUAGGUUUUUCUUUCUUAAUUUUUUUAUUUUAUUAAUUUAAUUUCAUCAGUUGAUUAAGUUUUUCUGUAGCUAUGUGUGCUAUUUUACUUCCUUUAUCAUUGUGCAAUUCUUAUGGUGAUCUUUGAUCAAAAUAAAGAAG
This is a long non-coding RNA of Salvator merianae (Argentine black and white tegu), 2260 nucleotides long. The record is from Ensembl. Lineage: Eukaryota; Metazoa; Chordata; Lepidosauria; Squamata; Teiidae.